GGCUCAGGAUGAACGCUAGCGGCAGGCUUAAUACAUGCAAGUCGUGGGGCAGCAUGGUGUAGCAAUACACUGAUGGCGACCGGCAAACGGGUGCGGAACACGUACAGAACCUUCCUUCAAGUGGUGAAUAGCCCAGAGAAAUUUGGAUUAAUACACCGUAACAUAUGAAAGUGGCAUCACUUUUAUAUUAUAGCUCCGGCGCUUGAAGAUGGCUGUGCGGCUGAUUAGGUAGUUGGCGGGGUAACGGCCCACCAAGCCUGCGAUCAGUAACUGGUGUGAGAGCACGACCAGUCACACGGGCACUGAGACACGGGCCCGACUCCUACGGGAGGCAGCAGUAAGGAAUAUUGGUCAAUGGACGCAAGUCUGAACCAGCCAUGCCGCGUGAAGGAUGAAGGUCCUCUGGAUUGUAAACUUCUUUUAUCUGGGACGAAAAAAGGGCUUUCUAGCUCGACUGACGGUACCAGAGGAAUAAGCACCGGCUAACUCCGUGCCAGCAGCCGCGGUAAUACGGAGGGUGCAAGCGUUAUCCGGAUUCACUGGGUUUAAAGGGAGCGUAGGCGGGCAGGUAAGUCAGUGGUGAAAUCUCCGGGCUUAACCCGGAAACUGCCAUUGAUACUAUCUGUCUUGAAUAUCCUGGAGGUAAGCGGAAUAUGUCAUGUAGCGGUGAAAUGCUUAGAUAUGACAUAGAACACCCAUUGCGAAGGCAGCUUACUACGGGAUGAUUGACGCUGAGGCUCGAAAGCGUGGGGAUCAAACAGGAUUAGAUACCCUGGUAGUCCACGCCCUAAACGAUGGAUACUCGACAUCAGCGAUACACUGUUGGUGUCUGAGCGAAAGCAUUAAGUAUCCCACCUGGGAAG
Molecule: ribosomal RNA, 863 nt
Filed under: uncultured bacterium
Lineage: Bacteria
Description: bacterial SSU rRNA
Rfam family: Bacterial small subunit ribosomal RNA
Source: RNAcentral